GACGAACGCUGGCGGCGUGCUUAACACAUGCAAGUCGAGCGGUAAGGCCCUUUCGGGGGUACACGAGCGGCGAACGGGUGAGUAACACGUGGGUGACCUGCCCUCAGCUCUGGGAUAAGCCUGGGAAACCGGGUCUAAUACCGGAUAUGACUCCAUGACGCAUGUUGUGGGGUGGAAAGCCUUGUGCGGCUGAGGAUGGGCCCGCGGCCUAUCAGCUUGUUGGUGGGGUGANGGCCUACCAAGGCGACGACGGGUAGCCGGCCUGAGAGGGCGACCGGCCACACUGGGACUGAGACACGGCCCAGACUCCUACGGGAGGCAGCAGUGGAGAAUCUUGCGCAAUGGGCGAAAGCCUGACGCAGCGACGCCGCGUGAGGGAUGAC
Molecule: ribosomal RNA, 383 nt
Filed under: uncultured bacterium
Lineage: Bacteria
Description: bacterial SSU rRNA
Rfam family: Bacterial small subunit ribosomal RNA
Source: RNAcentral